AUUUUGACGCUCCAAUUUUAAUUUAUCAUAAUUUUUUAUUUAAAUUUUUUGAAUUAUGAUAAUCAAAUUUUACAAUCUAAUCUAGUUAGUUAAAUAUUAAUAAAUUAUUAAUGUAAAAGUAAAAAUAAAUGUAUUGAUAAUAAUUAAGAUAAUUUGUUAAAUUUAGCUAAAUAAAGUGGGAUAUUGGACUUGAUUGCAACAAAUCAGAAAGUUCAAAUCAAAAAUCACUAUAAAUUAAAAUUUGAGCACUAAAGUGUUACGCGCCUCACAAUUUGAGAACCAAAAGAAAUAAAGAACUGCUAUUUAUACAAAAUAAUGUUCUUUAUAUGAUACCGACCGUCCCUAGAGCAAGUGGCAAAGGGCUUGAUGGUUGGUACCCGAGAUCCAAGUUCGAAUCCUAAUUGAUUCACAUUUUCCAGCUAAGUUUAUUUCUAAAUGAAAUAAACGAAGCGGGUAGCGUGCUACCUAUCUCUCUCUCAAAAAAAAAAAAAUCUUUAUAUGAUAAAAAGA
Molecule: long non-coding RNA, 510 nt
Filed under: Ananas comosus (pineapple)
Lineage: Eukaryota; Viridiplantae; Streptophyta; Magnoliopsida; Poales; Bromeliaceae
Description: long non-coding RNA (ACOM_LNC002588)
Source: RNAcentral